CACACACACACACACACACAUAGGCAAAGGAAAGAGAUGUGAAAAAAAAAAAGCAUACUCAGCUUCAUUUUCUUUCCCUGCAUCAAACAAUGUACAAUGGGAUCAGUUAAUAGAUUUUUGGUGGUGUGAGUAUUUAUUUAUUUAUUUUUAUUUAUUUACUGCAACAACUUACAAGCUUACAAAAACAACAAAAAGAAUUGUAAGAGUUUGGGGCAAAAACAACAGACAAUUAUUCCUAUAACGUGCUACCUAAAAUCAAAAUUCAAAUUAAAAAAGUGAUUUUAAUGAAAAAACAAACAAUCUAAAGCUCAUGAAGCUGUUCUCUCCACUGCAUCUCAAUUUGAAUCUGACCAUUCUUGGAGCCUAUAAGAUGGUACUUCUCAUUGAUCCUUCUGUUGCUAACCACAUCCGCAAGACUGAUGUCCACAUAACCCAGAGAUUCCUGAUCAAACAACAAGGAAAUAUGAAAAAUUUUUGUUUGACUAAAGCCACCGUAAAUGCUAUAAUUCAUCUAAAUGCUGCACAUAAUUAACCAAAAACUACAACAAAUCCAAGAAAUGGAGCUUCUGCUCAUAAACAACCUUUAGUUUUCAUUCAACCAUAUGUCAUGAUAGAGAAAGCAACUCCAGUGGAAAACUUCCAGACAACACUACAGCCUAAAAAACCAACAUUCCUUUCUUUCAUGAAAUAUAUUUCUAUAAUCUAGGAAUGUGCAAAGUUCCAUGAUCUUCUAAGACAGCAUGGCACAACGAAUUAAAGUUUAAUCAAGCCAUGCCAAAGUUCAAAAUGAUCUGCUAGAUUUCUGUGUUCUUAGUACUUUGAGCCUGAUGAGAAAAAUUAAAUUCCAUAGAAAUUGAACAGAAUUCUUUUCUUUUUCAGGUUCAAUGCAUAAAAUAGAAAUGGUGCUGCAUCAGCAUAUUAUAAUCACAACUGAAGUGGAAAUAAUUACACUUUCAGUAGCAUUCUCUCCCAAUACUUUGAAUAAAGAUAUAAGUAAAUUAUGCAACUCAUACCUUAGGAUGCAACAAGCCCAUCCUCGAUGUAGUGCUAACAACUUCUACACGUAGCUUAUCGUUAGUGGGAGGCUCAUCCAACAUGAACUGGAACUCCUCCUCCCAUCUAGGAUCUCGGUUCUUCUUU
Molecule: unclassified non-coding RNA, 1140 nt
Filed under: Hevea brasiliensis (rubber tree)
Lineage: Eukaryota; Viridiplantae; Streptophyta; Magnoliopsida; Malpighiales; Euphorbiaceae
Source: RNAcentral